Molecule: ribosomal RNA, 564 nt
Filed under: Crocodylus mindorensis (Philippine crocodile)
Lineage: Eukaryota; Metazoa; Chordata; Crocodylia; Crocodylidae
Description: partial 12S ribosomal RNA
Rfam family: Bacterial small subunit ribosomal RNA (bases 1-454)
Source: RNAcentral
AAAGGACUUGACGGUAUUUCGAACCCACCUAGAGGAGCCUGUCCUAUAAUCGACAAUACACGAUCCACCCAACCACCUUUUGCCCUAAGCAGCCUGUAUACCGCCGUCGCAAGCUUAGCCCAUGAGGGACAAGCACUCAGCACAAUAACUCGCUCCUGAGCUAGAACGUCAGGUCAAGGUGCAGCCGAUAAGGUGGCAGAGAUUGGCUACAUUUUCUACACUAUAGAAAUGGGUCACGGAGAGGCCUGUGAAACCAGGACUGUCAAAGACGGAUUUAGCAGUAAAUUAGGAGAAGAGUGCCUAAUUGAAGAUGGCCCCGAAAUAUGUACACACCGCCCGUCACCCUCCUCGAAUUAAACCAGAUUUUGCUACAUAACGCACAUAGAACCCGAUGAGAUGAGGAAAGUCGUAACAAGGUAAGCGUACCGGAAGGUGUGCUUGGAACAUCAAAAUGUAGCUUAAACCAAAGCAUUCUGCUUACACCUGAAACAUGUUUACUUAAAUAAACCAUUUUGAUUAACCCGCUCUAGCCCUAAAAAUUAACCAAAAUAAAAUUAACCACAC